Molecule: ribosomal RNA, 548 nt
Filed under: uncultured Blastocystis sp.
Lineage: Eukaryota; Bigyra; Opalinata; Blastocystidae
Description: SSU rRNA
Rfam family: Eukaryotic small subunit ribosomal RNA
Source: RNAcentral
CUGGUUGAUCCUGCCAGUAGUCAUACGCUCGUCUCAAAGAUUAAGCCAUGCAUGUGUAAGUAUAAAUAAUUCUACUUUGAAACUGCGAAUGGCUCAUUAUAUCAGUUAUAGUUUAUUAGAAAUAGUGUACUACUUGGAUAACCGUAGUAAUUCUAGGGCCAAUACAUGAGUAAAUCCUCGACUUUGGAAGAGGUGUGUUUAUUAGUAUGAAAACCAUAUGCUUUUGCACGAUAGUGAGUAAUAAUAACCUUUCAUAUCGCCUGUUUUAAAUAGCGAUAGUUCUUUCAAGUUUCUGCCCUAUCAGCUUUCGAUGGUAGUGUAUUGGACUACCAUGGCAGUAACGGGUAACGAAGAAUUUGGGUUCGAUUUCGGAGAGGGAGCCUGAGAGAUGGCUACCACAUCCAAGGAAGGCAGCAGGCGCGUAAAUUACCCAAUCCUGACAUAGGGAGGUAGUGACAAUAAAUCACAAUGCGGGACUAUUUAGUUUUGCAAUUGGAUUGAGAACAAUGUACAAGAGUUAUCGAUAAACAAUUGGAGGGCAAGUCUGG